CCCACUCUAAAUUUUUGCUUCACCAUUGGUUUGAAACCAUAAACAUGUUUACCCUGCAGAUAAACAUAUAAAAUUCCACCCUAACCACAACAAAAGAGGUUUGUAAUUAUUAAUCAAAGAUGAAUCCAUUUAGACUCUCCAAUAACUAUUAUGCUCGGCCUUUGAAUCAGCAGUGCUUAGUCUUCAUCAGUUCUUUGACAGUCAGCAGUUGUUAGGUCUUCUCAGUCUUUGUACCCAGCAGUGCUUUAAUGAACAGGUGUUAAGGAGAACAGUCUUUAAGAUGAUCAGCUGAUUGAAGCACUUCCAUUGGAGGGAACUUAGAACAUGCAAGCUUAUUGUGGAUCAACUAAUGAGAACUAGUUUUAGCUUUCAAUAUCAUCUGUUCUUCUAGGUUAGAUUACAUGGGCCAACAGUAUUAUUAUUGACGGAUGAAUGGAAGUCUCUUUAUUAAUGGAUUACCGACAUAAAAUCCAUCAACACAUAUUAUCGACAAAUAGCUCAUGGCUACAUCAUUGUAAGAUCAAGGAUGAAUUAUCGAUGGUUACAUCACCGAUAUGUUCCAUUAGUAAUAUGUUGGUUUUUUUUAAUGACUCCAACUCACCCAUAAUUGAC
This 612-nucleotide long non-coding RNA is filed under the name Helianthus annuus (common sunflower). The record is from RNAcentral. Lineage: Eukaryota; Viridiplantae; Streptophyta; Magnoliopsida; Asterales; Asteraceae.